This 461-nucleotide ribosomal RNA is filed under the name uncultured bacterium. RNAcentral describes it as "bacterial SSU rRNA". It matches the Rfam family "Bacterial small subunit ribosomal RNA", at positions 337 to 796 of the family's 1533-position model. The record is from RNAcentral.
UCCUACGGGACGCAGCAGUAGGGAAUAUUGGGCAAUGGAAGGAAUUCUGACCCAGCCAUGCCGCGUGCAGGAUGAAGGCGCUAUGCGUUGUAAACUGCUUUUGUCAGGGAAGAAAAAGGCUAUGCGUAGCAAAUUGACGGUACCUGAAGAAUAAGCAUCGGCUAACUCCGUGCCAGCAGCCGCGGUAAUACGGAGGAUGCAAGCGUUGUCCGGAUUUAUUGGGUUUAAAGGGUGCGUAGGCGGUUUGAUAAGUCAGUGGUUAAAUAACCUUGCUUAACGAGGGAGAUGCCAUUGAUACUGUCAGACUUGAAUACUGUUUGGGUAGGCGGAAUUGGUAGUGUAGCGGUGAAAUGCUUAGAUAUUACCAGGAACACCGAUAGCGAAGGCAGCUUACUGAAGAGAUAUUGACGCUGAGGCACGAAAGUGCGGGUAUCAAACAGGAUUAGAUACCCGAGUAGUCA